This 694-nucleotide long non-coding RNA is filed under the name Fukomys damarensis (Damara mole-rat). RNAcentral's name for it is "lncRNA (ENSFDAG00000029149.1)". Lineage: Eukaryota; Metazoa; Chordata; Mammalia; Rodentia; Bathyergidae. The record is from RNAcentral.
GGUCUCUAGAGCACAGUGCAGGAGUGUAGCAGCCAGUGCUGUAGUAAGGGGAAUGCGUUAUUGUUUAUUUUCUUAGAUUCAGGAAACAAAAAGUACAGCCAAAAAAAUUAUGGCUCAUCUGAAUUCCGGGCAUCUAGGUUCAGACUGAGAAACCCCUGCCAGGAGAGAAAGCUUACAAGAAACAAUGUGAAGUGGGAUGUCUCGGAGCUUCAGCAGAGAGUCAUUGUCCGUUUUCAGGUAAAGGUUGUGUUCUGGUAUUGUCAACGAAAUGUGGGUGAAAUACUCAUCAUUCAUAGCGCAAAUGAAACCAGCGUUUUGCCAAACUGACCAAGCAGCCCACUGGAGAGAAGAAUAUUAUUCCUUUAUGCUGGAGAAAUUGAAAUGAAGUCGCAAGGUCACGUGACAGGUGACAGCUGAAUUUAACUGCAAGUAAUUGAGAGAGAUCAACACAGAACUCAGUGAAGCAGCUGCCCACGGAGAUGUCCACUGAUGCACCACUCCUCACACUAUGCACUGUUUUUAUGGCUCAGAAAGAAACGAAAGGAAAGGCAGACAGAGCUACCAACCCAGCCCUCUCAUUUUCCUUGGAUUUGUUCCACCACAACUUUGUAGAACAGGGAACUGGCCAGGUAUCCAGGGAAAGAAGAGUCUAGUGACAAUAAUUAUGGAGGAUUCACGGCCCACAUUACCCUAG